GAGAAGGGAGGAGUUAUUCAGGCCUCCGCCAGCUUCUAGGCCCUGGGGAUGGUCUUUCACCUCCCUCUUUCUGAUCUCUUUUUCAUGCUCCUCCUUGCUCCAAAGAAAAGCCGGAUGGCAAAAGAGCCCAGAACCUAUUGGAACUGACAAAAUCAAGUCACGGCGCCUACAAAGAUGAGGGGCAGAUUCUGGCUGCCUUUUAAUUUCGUCCUUCACCUGAUAUCUGUGCCAGAGAAUGUUGUCUUUCAGGAACUUGGGGCGGCCCCUGUCCAGUUCAAACCAGCUGAGACCACCAACCCUCUGAAUGCACCUGCAUGGAUGUCGGAAAAGUGACACUUGCCAUCAGAGGGCCAAAACUCCACCCUCAGAUCAUGUUAACACUGCUAUUUUCUGACCAUGUGUCCUAAGAAGAGCCGUGAGCCCAGACUGCACUUGCUCAGAUCACCAGUUACCUCACUUCUCCCCACCCUCAAUCACCUUUCCCCACCUUAGACCAUCCUAAUUCUUUACUCCAUAAAUAUCCCUAAGCAUUAUCCUUGAGGAGGUAGAUUUGAGAGCUGUUCUCCCAUCUCCUGGCUGGGUUGCCCUGUGAGUAAAUCUUUUCUCUUUUGCAAAACCCAUUGUCACCAUGACUGGCUUACUGUGUGCAGGCAGAAUGAACCUGGUUUGGUGUCAUAUCUACGAGCUCCCAGACAAUGCCAGUCCCACUGGACUAAGGGUCUCACUUUGAGUAACAAGUUCUUAAAAGUCUCCUGGAUCAAGUUCUUCUGCCCUGACCGUCUUUUUCAUAAUAGUCUAGAGCAAGACUUCACACACAAGAAAUGUUGGACUGUCUCAUAGGCAGAAGGGUUUGUGGGAAAAGCAGUGAGUCCAUUUGAAAGCUACAAAAGUAAAGUGAGCUCUCAUCAUGUCACCAAUAAGUGUUCUGUUUUUAAUUUUCAGAUAAAAAUCAUAAUAAAGGAAAUAAUGGAAGAGGAGACUUAUGUUACUGGGGACAUCUAACAUAAUUAUUUUCCUGAUUCAGUGGCAUGGUUCAGUCUUCCAGGAGUUCUGCUACAGAGAAGAGAGUAACCCCCAUCCAUCAUGGCCAAAGCACCCAGUCAGGCUCCGCUCUGGAUCCAGCCCGACAAAUGCAACCCUUGAAUAGGGUUUGUGCAAGCAAACUGGAUGACGACCGAAGAAACCCUGUCGCUUCUGAGAAGACACCCAAUCCAAGAAUGUGAGUUCUGGAAAUGUCAUUAAAUGUCAGUUAUAUACAUGCUUACGUGUCCAUAUUAGCUAUGCAAUCACCAUCAGCAAGUUCUUUUUCUCAACCAAAAAAAGAAGUAAAUUUCUCUGCUAAUUAAAUAUUUCCUCAGGCCAGGCACGGUGGCUCACACCUGUAAUCUCAGCAGUUUGGGAGGCCGAGGAGGGUGGAUCACUUGAGGUCAGGAGUUCAGGAUCAGCCUGGCCAACAUGUGAAACCCCGUCUCUACUAGAAAGGCAAAAAUUAGCUGGGCAUGGGGGCAUCUGUAAUCUCAGCUACUUGGGAGACUGAGAGAGGAGAAUCGCUUGAACCCGGGAGG
Molecule: long non-coding RNA, 1565 nt
Filed under: Homo sapiens (human)
Lineage: Eukaryota; Metazoa; Chordata; Mammalia; Primates; Hominidae
Description: PREDICTED lncRNA (TCONS_00025804)
Source: RNAcentral